CCCGGUCGACCUCUCUUGCUCCCCUGCGGGAGUGGGAGAGAACCCCCCUUUUUAUCAAG
RNAcentral lists this ribosomal RNA (59 nucleotides) under Exophiala dermatitidis. Its description in RNAcentral is "partial 28S ribosomal RNA". Lineage: Eukaryota; Fungi; Ascomycota; Eurotiomycetes; Chaetothyriales; Herpotrichiellaceae. The record is from RNAcentral.